Molecule: long non-coding RNA, 1114 nt
Filed under: Homo sapiens (human)
Lineage: Eukaryota; Metazoa; Chordata; Mammalia; Primates; Hominidae
Description: HSALNT0340085
Source: RNAcentral
AGUUGCAGGAAUUUAGCCAAUUCAGAGGUCUUGUUCUCCAUAAUUUGGAAUUUUCCUUCGGAUUUGAUCAAGUUGGAUAGAGUUGGUCAAACCCAAUGGGAAAAAGAUGAAAACAACAAGAAACAGAAACAAACAGCAACAACAACAACAACAAAAACAAUGCAUUUAAUUAAAUGAAGAUGAGCUCAUGCUGGAGUAGGGUGGACUCUGAACCCAGUGGGACAAGCGUCCUUAUUAAGAAGAGGGAAAUCUGGACACACACAGAGCAGAGACCGCCGUGUGAAGAUGGAGGCAGAGAUCGGAGAGAUGCUGCCACACGCCACAAAUGCCUGGGGCUCCCAGAAACUACACGGAGCCUCCCCCAGCGGCUUCAGCAGGAGCAUGGCUCGGCCAACACUUUGAUCUUGGUCUUCCAGCCUCCAGAACGUUUUCCUAAAAUUCCCUUUUCCACUGGUGUGUGGUGCAAGAUGAGGCACAUUUUCCAUGGAUGGUGAACAGAGGGAGGAGCCUUUUGAUCACAACCAGGUCACCCCACUUCUAAGCCACUGUGCCUCCAGCCCCACAAGACUAAGGAGAGAGAGCGCAGCGUGGUGGAGAGUGAGCUGUGCUGGGACCAUUGUUUCCGUAACCUCGUUUUCUGUGUCCAGCUGACACACCUUCAAAGUGGCAUCAGGUCCUAAACUGUAGCUUGCAAUGUGCCUGUUUCCAGAAACCAAGGUGAAAGUGCUUUUAGACAGUGUUCCCAUGCAAGAGUCCCUUCCCAGCUUUUUUCUGGAAAUGCAUGUUUCUCUGAACUCUGAGUCCCAAGAAAAAUCACUUGAGACACCAAGAAAAUGGGGGAAGUGCUAAAAUUGUGUGGGAAUUCAAGCUUAACAAUAAACAUCAAGACAUUUUUGAUAAAAAUGAAUCCACUGACAUCGGGGAGGAGCAAGAGAACAGCACGCUGACACUGGGUCAGAGGCUAAGACCGACAUUUCUGGGAACCACUCCCGGAAGGGCACAGAGGAGACGCUUUCAGCCUCUCAUCAGCCAGCCUGGCCUGUAGCUGCUGCACGUUAUGAGUGUGUUCCUGGCAUGACUGCUUCUAACAAAGAAAUGCUGAGGCAGUGUCACG